GAUCAACGCUGGCGGCGUGCAUAACACAUGCAAGUCGAACGAUGAAGCUUAACUGAUUUCUUCGGAAUGAUUUUAAGUGGCUUAGUGGCGGACGGGUGAGUAACGCGUGAGUAACCUGCCUUGCACAAGGGGAUAGCCGUUGGAAACGACGAAUAAUACCCUAUGAUAUAAACUCUUCGCAUGAAGGGCUUAUCAAAGAUUUAUCGGUGUAAGAUGGACUCGCGUCUGAUUAGCUAGUUGGUGGGGUAACAGCCUACCAAGGCAACGAUCAGUAGCCGGCUUGAGAGAGUGUACGGCCACAUUGGGACUGAGACACGGCCCAGACUCCUACGGGAGGCAGCAGUGGGGAAUUUUGCACAAUGGGGGAAACCCUGAUGCAGCGACGCCGCGUGAUUUAGAAGGCCUUCGGGUUGUAAAAAUCUUUUGUAUGGGAAGAAAAUGACAGUACCAUACGAAUAAGGACCGGCUAAUUACGUG
RNAcentral lists this ribosomal RNA (477 nucleotides) under uncultured bacterium. RNAcentral's name for it is "partial 16S ribosomal RNA". It matches the Rfam family "Bacterial small subunit ribosomal RNA", at positions 28 to 507 of the family's 1533-position model. The record is from RNAcentral.